Molecule: long non-coding RNA, 970 nt
Filed under: Zonotrichia albicollis (white-throated sparrow)
Lineage: Eukaryota; Metazoa; Chordata; Aves; Passeriformes; Passerellidae
Description: lncRNA (ENSZALG00000016146.1)
Source: RNAcentral
UCGUAUGUUGGGAAUUACGCAUGUUUUCAAGGAGUCACAUUAUACACUCUUUAGAUGUAGAUGUAAGCUAAUCCCUCCCUGAAAACCUAGCUCUUUAGGUCCCUAAAAUAGUCUGUACAACAUACAGCUGCAAGUCCUCCAGAGAGGUACCUAUGUGGGAAAAGGAGAGUAGAAUUGUGCCAUUCCAUUAUAUAGAAUUGACUGUGGCUACUACCUAACUUAUUGCAAGGAGUGUGUUUGUGAAAGUUGCUAAAUGCAAAGUAACUGAGCUCAAGCAGAGGAAGAUAUUUAUAAUGAACAGUCUGAAGUGAUAUGCACAUUUUCUCUGUUUUCUGACAACUUAGUUGAUUCUGUCAUGGAGAUCUGUCCUUAUCUGUUCUUUCAAGUGAACAACCCAAAACCACUAAAGGUAAAAAGCUCUUGAAACAGAGAAAAUUCAAGGCUUACUGAUCAAGAUGAAUUAAAAUAAAAGGUCUGACAGCAGAUAUCUCUUACCCCUCGCAGCCUGCUGUGAUUGUUGAGUGAAUUCUGUCCUGCUGUGAUUCCAGCAACUUUCAUCACCUCUCUGAGGAGCAGUGAGUUCUGCAUUGCCUCUUCUGAACUUCUGUGAAACCUCUGUGCAUCUUUUUUAUCAUCAGCUCUGAGUCAAGCACAUCCACUUCAGGAUGAUCAUCUACUCCCAUCUGAGAGGCCCCACACCCCUUCUCAGCAGAAAACAUGCAGUGUACAUGCUGCAACUGGAUACAUCAGGACGGGUGCCUUUAAUCAGCCUCCCAUUGGCCACCUCAGCAAUGGGUUAACACAACAGCACAGCUUCACUGUGAGUUUGAGAAGCCAGGUGGUACCAGGUGUCAGAAUGGUUGUGAGGAGAACUCUUCAGUGGAAUUACAGCCUCUUGUUCAGCCCAGAAUUUAAGAAGAGGUGGAAAGAUGGAGAUAAUAACAACAAAAAAUUAAGGAGACAGGUCUGA